AUCGAGGAGCUUUGGGGAAAUAGGA
This 25-nucleotide non-coding RNA is filed under the name Cricetulus griseus (Chinese hamster). Lineage: Eukaryota; Metazoa; Chordata; Mammalia; Rodentia; Cricetidae. The record is from RNAcentral.